GCUGAGGUGGGAGAGCGGUUUAAUCCGGUUGGCUCGAGACCAACUGCACCACAAACAGACGCAGACUUCGUCUGCGUUAAGUGGUUGUGCACGCAGGUUCGAAAAAGCUUUUCUUUUCAAAAAAGAAAAGACUUUAGAAAAGAAAACUUAGAUUGUCCUGCCCUCAGCGCCA
RNAcentral lists this transfer RNA (172 nucleotides) under archaeon. Its description in RNAcentral is "tRNA-Ser". The record is from RNAcentral.